This 527-nucleotide ribosomal RNA is filed under the name uncultured fungus. RNAcentral describes it as "SSU rRNA". It matches the Rfam family "Eukaryotic small subunit ribosomal RNA", at positions 289 to 821 of the family's 1831-position model. Lineage: Eukaryota; Fungi. The record is from RNAcentral.
GAUGGUUCAUUCAAAUUUCUGCCCUAUCAACUUUCGAUGGUAGAGUAGUGGUCUACCAUGGUGGUCAACGGGUAACGGGAAUUAGGGUUCUAUUCCGGAGAGGGAGCCUGAGAAACGGCUACCACAUCCAAGGAAGGCAGCAGGCGCGCAAAUUACCCAAUCCCGACACGGGGAGGUAGUGACAAUAAAUACUGAUACAGGGCUCUUUUGGGUCUGUGUAAUUGGAAUGAGUACAAUUUAAAUCCCUUAACGAGGAACAAUUGGAGGGCAAGUCCUGGUGCCAGCAGCCGCGGUAAUUCCAGCUCCAAUAGCGUAUAUUAAAGUUGUUGCAGUUAAAAAGCUCGUAGUUGAACCUUGGGCCCUGGCUGGCCGGUCCGCCUCACCGGUGCACUGGUCCGGCCGGCCUUUCCUUCUGGGGAGCCGCAUGCCCUUCACUGGGUGUGUCGGGGAACCAGGACUUUUACUUUGAAAAAAUUAGAGUGUUCAAAGCAGGCCUAUGCUCGAAUACAUUAGCAUGGAAUAAUAGA